Prionailurus viverrinus (fishing cat) is the source of this 583-nucleotide long non-coding RNA. RefSeq lists it as uncharacterized. The record is from RefSeq and is a predicted model, not a curated record. The transcript is spliced from 3 exons. Lineage: Eukaryota; Metazoa; Chordata; Mammalia; Carnivora; Felidae.
UGAGAGCUGAUGGGACAGAGGGCCGAGGGAACAGCAUGUUUGAGGACCCUGAGUCAGGGGGAGAGUGAUGAACCUGAAGAAUUCAGCAAGGCCAGUACGGGUCCAAGAGAGGGUGGGCAGGCUCAUCAGCCUGAUGGGGGAGCCGACGGGUGUGUGAGGUCACUCCCCACCAGGAGUCUGUGGCUGCCCCUCCAGAAAAGAAUGCGUGCCCCGCCCCCAUCCUAGGGCCUGCCGCCGGACUGUGUGCUUUGGCUCCCCCUGGUGGCUCUGAUGAGAACCAGAACCCUAACUUGCUCGGUUGGUGGAAAAGACGCCUGGCUGUGAGUCUGGAAAUCGCUUUUGCCCCUUGCUUCCUGCCUGUCCACUUGCUGCCUGGGUUUGCCCUUCCUUGCGAGAUGCCUCUGGCCAGUAAUUCAAGAUAGUUACAACAGAGGGCAGAAUUGUUGCUGGAAUGCAGGCUUUUUGAGGUUACCACCAUGGACAAAUGCUGAUUAAUGUUCUUUAUUGCGAAAUUUCUGAAGCUUAUGGGCAAGAUCAAUGAAGCAGAAGGAUUAUUCUUGACUGUUGAGAACAUGUUAGUGCA